ACGUAGGGCGCAAGCGUUGUCCGGAAUUAUUGGGCGUAAAGAGCUCGUAGGCGGUCUGUCGCGUCUGGUGUGAAAUCCCGAGGCUCAACCUCGGGCUUGCAUCGGGUACGGGCAGACUAGAGUGCGGUAGGGGAGACUGGAAUUCCUGGUGUAGCGGUGGAAUGCGCAGAUAUCAGGAGGAACACCGAUGGCGAAGGCAGGUCUCUGGGCCGCAACUGACGCUGAGGAGCGAAAGCAUGGGGAGCGAACAGG
This 252-nucleotide ribosomal RNA is filed under the name uncultured bacterium. RNAcentral's name for it is "partial 16S ribosomal RNA". It matches the Rfam family "Bacterial small subunit ribosomal RNA", at positions 525 to 776 of the family's 1533-position model. The record is from RNAcentral.